This 3426-nucleotide long non-coding RNA is filed under the name Malus domestica (apple). RNAcentral describes it as "long non-coding RNA (MDOM_LNC017222)". The record is from RNAcentral. Lineage: Eukaryota; Viridiplantae; Streptophyta; Magnoliopsida; Rosales; Rosaceae.
UUUUGUUAAGGGAUGAUUUUGUAUGAAUUACAUGUCAAUAAGUUUUGACAUGUUAUGUGCAAUAACAUCAACACCUUGUCGACAUUGUAUCGACAGUCUGUCCCUUAAUAAAUUACAUACGUCUUUGCUUAUUACUCGUUGCAUAUGCAUGUUGUAAUUGCAUGUGUUUUUGCAGGCUGGUCAGCAAAUGAUGGAGAAGGCUCAGGGAGCAGCUGACUCCGUCAAGGAUGCAGUUGGCGCCAACAAAAGAAGCUGAGAUGGGGAUCUCAUCAGUCCAAUUCCUCCAAAAUUUCGUGUUCCCGUUUUUGUUUUGUGAUUCUUUCUUUUUUGGUCCAUCUUUUGCUUAAACUUGCUGUUUGAAGCAAGAACAAGUUCUGAUCAUGCAACCACUUACUGUUCAGAGAACAUUUUGCUAAUAAUCUCAAUGAUAUUGUUUCUCUAGCACCAAUGUUUCAGAGUGGUUAUUUAUUUACUUUUAUUCCAAAUUGAUAUCGAGAAUCAUUUCUACUUAACUGCAAAUCACAAUGCAACGCAUACAAAAAACCAAGGAAAAAGACAUUUGUGUUGAAACCAACUAUGUACUGGUUUGGUACUAAUGUGCUUUUAUAAAAAAUGGGUAUAAAAAAAGCUGAACUCAAAAAUAUGUUCGGUAAACACUUUAAAACAGCUUAUUUUCAUAGUUUUGGAUGAAAAAAAGCUGAAAACGUGAAGCAGAAAAAAUGAGUUUAUUCUCACAUCACAGUAGAAGCAGUUUUUUUUUUUCAAAGCACAGCAAUACCAAACCAGCUUUACAUAUGGCUUCAAAUGUCUUCAAGACGAUUAGCAAAUAGAGAACCAAAAGCCUCCAUACAAUGUUUUUCCAAAACCAAGCCAACCUUAACACCACCAUCACCAUUCUUGCUCGCUUGAAAAGGUAUCGCUCCUGUCCCAUCUAUCGAAACUAUCUCGUGCUUCGUCAGUCUUCCCCAACCGAAAUCAGCUGCACCAUAAAAAUCAACGGUGUGAACCGGAAAUGGGAAUUAUUCUAUCAAUACUACUGGUCUGCAGUGUGUAUAAAUAUAUAUAAUUAUUUUUUUAAUACAAAAUCAAAUGUAUAAAUAUAUAUAAUUAUUGUUCUUAUGAAGCUGGUAUAAUAAGUUUCUACUCUUAUCCAUCCAUAAUUGAGUGUUUAGUGUUGUAUAAUAGCUAAACCUGUCGAGCAUGACAAACACACUCUAUGAAGUAUUUGAGAGAUUUUUCACUGUGUUAAAAAUAGGAGGUGGAACAUCACAUGAUUAUAACAUUGAAGGAAAGUGUUUUAUUUUUCUAAGUGUCUUGCUAAUAUAUAACAUGUUAUAUAUGCACCUUGUUCGAAAAUCUAAACGUAUCGUAUGUUAGAUUAAUUAGUGGCUCCUAGAUUAUUGGGUAAUGAUAAAACGUCCACGAAACUACCAUCUUGACGAAUCAUCUCCAUCUUGACGAGGCGGUAACGACUUCUCAGUCACUCCGCGAAACUACCAUCACCUACGUCGUCAAGAACAAUAAGGGAGGAACACACUCCAAUGAAUCGAUCAAGCAAUAAUUAUUUCAUUUCUUUUACCAAAAUCAUGCAACUUCCAUUCAAAUUGUAGAGUGUGAAUUUAUCAUGCAAGUAUGCAACUUUUUUCUCUCCCUCGCUCUCUGGGCCAAAGUAUUUGUAAGCACAUGUAAGGGCAAUUUUCUUAUUAAUGUGAGAUUCAUUCUCAAUAUACCCCCUCACGUGUGGCGAAUUUACAAGCCUAACACGUAGAUAACACAACAGGGUGACGUGAAGUGCGUGUGGCCGUUUGACUUCACACGAAGACAAUCUAUUCUAAUACCAUGAAAAAAGUUGAGAUUCCACAAUAAAACUGAUUGACAAUAUGGAGACUAGCACAACUACUUAUAAGCACAUGCAAGGUCAUUUAUCUCAUUAAUGUGGAAUUCAUUCUCAACAAUCAUUACCUCAAUUUUCUUUUUCGUUUCUACAAUUUCUUUGAUUAGUAUUCUUCUCUCUCUGGGUUGUUUAAUUGACUGUAUAAUUUAGGUUGAAUACAUAUUAGGCAAGAUUUUUCUGCAUUUUACGGCAAACGUUUUUAAUUUAUUUUUUCCAGAAACCCUUAUGGCAAGUUUUUAGGGAUGAAAAUUAAAUUUGAAAUAGAAAAUAUAAAGAAACACUAAAUAUGGCUUGUCAUGUUGUGUUCAUGUGCGUGUUGGCUUGCUGUAAUAGCUUCAUAUUCAUGGCAGGCAGUGUGGGUAGGGCUUUGCUGUGGAAGGAGGUUGUUGCUGGUGCUUAUUUAUUUAUUUUUUAAGUCCAGAGACACUUAUCCGGACAGUAUAAAUAAUCAGCCUUUUAAUCUAGGAAACGUUAACGAAAAACUCCCGGUACUGUUUACUUUAACAAAAAAUCACAUUUUUACCCUAAAAAGUUAAACCACACUUUUACACUAAAAAGUCAAUCAUGAUAUUAUUCACUUUACCCUUUAUUUUGUCCUUAUCAUUAAAACUCAAAGUUUUCAAGCCAUUUUUCAUUAGUUUUCCUUUUAAUCUACUUAAUGACUGAAAGAAUAGUCAUUAUAAUCCAAUGCACUUAUUAUCCUAUCCAACUAAGUUCGAGCUGUCAAACGAAGCUUAAGUGUUAAGUUUAUUACAAAACGUAUCGAUGCAAUCAAAAUAGCAAAACCAUAUAACAUUUAAGAGAAUUUAACUUAGGUUUUUGAUGUGGGACAUGUUUUAACUAGCAAAAAAUAAGAGUGAGACACUUGAGAAGCACAAAUAGGACUUCCUUGUAAUCUAUGAAGAGACAAAACCAUACUCUCCUUCCUGAAACUAAACUAACUUAACUAAUCUGAAAUGACGCUCUCUAUUGUUUUUGCCAUUACUAAUUAAAUUCUGCAUGGAAAUGUGACAUUUUAUUUUACUUUGAAAGCUCCAUAUAUUCAACUCAACGUCGAUAAAUUAGCCACAAUUUAGCCUGCCAACACAAUGCUCUAAAUUUGUAACUAAUUAGCUUUGUCAUGAGAGAAUGACUCAAACCUUAAUCAAAGCAACCCUGGUCUUUAGGCUUUAACUCCAAACUUUGCUCAACACGUGUCAAGCAAUUAAUGGAACUGAAGAAGCUAUAAAAUCCCACCCACUAACUUCAACAUUUCAUCAUAAAAAAAAAAGUUGUACGCACUUUUCAGCUGCCUCAAAUUUUCUUGUGUGUGUUUGUGUAGAAAGAGAAUUACUUCAUCAAGAUGAACCAAUCCCAGAACAUGAGCCACCAAGCUGGCCAGGCCAAGGGCCAAGCUCAAGUGAGUCUAAAAGCAGCUGUCUAGAAAAGCAAUUUGGUUAAAAGUUUGUUGGUCAUUUUGGUGGUUCAUGAUCAUGUGUUUUGCAAUUUUGAUAUACAGGAAAAGGCCAGUGGCAUGAUGGACCAAAUGAGCA